GACGUGACUUCAGAGUUUGAUCCUGGCUCAGGACGAACGCUGGCGGCGUGCCUAACACAUGCAAGUCGAGCGAGGAGGAGGAAGCUUGCUUCCGAAUCCUAGCGGCGGACGGGUGAGUAACGCGUGAGCAAUCUGCCUUUUACAGGGGGAUAACGCAUCGAAAGAUGUGCUAAUACCGCGUAAGACCACAGCACCGCAUGGUGCAGGGGUCAAAGGAGCAAUCCGGUAAAAGAUGAGCUCGCGUCCGAUUAGCUAGUUGGUGAGAUAACAGCCCACCAAGGCGACGAUCGGUAGCCGACCUGAGAGGGUGAUCGGCCACAUUGGAACUGAGACACGGUCCAG
This 342-nucleotide ribosomal RNA is filed under the name uncultured bacterium. RNAcentral describes it as "bacterial SSU rRNA". It matches the Rfam family "Bacterial small subunit ribosomal RNA", at positions 1 to 334 of the family's 1533-position model. The record is from RNAcentral.